GGGGGUUCUGGUGCUGGAGAUACAAUGACAAACAAGAUCAAUUCUUGUCCAAUCCUUAUAGAGUUUACAGGCUACUGGGGUGGGGCGGGCGAUAAACAAGCAAGCGAGUACAUCAGUGGAUCCAGAUGGUAAACAGCACCAAGAAGGAAUUCACAAGCCGCUGGAGGAGGAACACCGAGGAUGGUCUGCACUCCUAAUCUAUUCUGUUUUACUUGGUGAAAUGAUUGCAAGUGAAGUUGGAAGACAAAGGAGAAGCGUGUCCGUAACUAUGUAAUGGGUACAUCGAAAAGCAAGACUGAGGGGUGAAAUCAUGAAAGCAAUGUUUACUUUUCUUCUACUACCCUUUGAAACCUUCUCAAAGAGGUUUAGAGGUAUCCCUCCUUUGCUCCUGGAUGAAAAAUCAGGCCAUCUCCAAGACUGUCUGGUCACUGUUUUGUAAUAGAAAAUACUACCAACACUUUAGGAUUCAAAAGCAAAAUAAAUUAGGAAACCAUAAUGCUCAGUCCACAUGAUACACAACUCCAGGUUGACAUCGCAUGACAUCUUCAACCCCUUGCCUCUGCCGACCUAUAGUGGCAGCAGCAUAGGGGCUGGAGGAAAAUGGGUUUUAUUCUUCUCUAUUUCUCUGUUUUGCUUGCCAGGUUUCUGACCUGGACAUGGUCAAGGGUGGUGAAGAGGGAGGAGAUGUAAGGAAGGGGUGAGAAACAUUUUAUCUGAUUGCUGCUGCCAUAAAAUGGUGCCAUGGACCUGGCAACUGUUUAUAGCUCAUUCUUCUGUGAGAUUUUUAUGGGUUUACUGGGGUAAAAGAGGUCACUGAAAAAUUUGCUUAUGUUCCUCAAAAUGAAGAUGAUAUGUUUUUCUUCUGAAUAAUUACAAGAAAACACUCAAUAACUAGCAUUUUUUAAACCUGCUGGAAAAACUGAUGACAUAUCCGCAGAGAGCAAAGAAUGUGUCAUUCCACGUGUAGUCUUACAAUGGAGACAGAUCAGGCAGGGUUCAUUUUCUGUCUCAUUUUGUGCAUGUGACUUACCGAUGUCCCUGUUCCUCCCUUUGCUGAGCCUGAACGUCCAAUCCUCUGAAGCCUGUUCCAUGGAGACAGUGUGCUCCCAGUGCUGUCUGCAGGGGCACUGAGCAAGGAAGAGAACCCCUAUUCCUACUAAAGAGAGGUGUUGCUGGCAUUGAACCUUGGAACUCUGAUCACUUUUUUUUUUUAAGUGACAGGGUCUCGCUCUGUCGCCCAGGCUGGAUUAAAGUGCUGUGAUCACAGCUCACUGCAGCCGUGAAGACCUAGGCUCAAGGGAUCAGCCCUCCUCAGGCUCCAGAGUGCCUGGGGCUACACACCCAGCUAAUUUUUAAAAAAGUUUUGUAGAGACAGGAUCUUUGUAUGUUGCCCAGGCUAGACCACAUUUUUCUGUAGAAAUAAUGAGUCGCAGAAUUUAGGAAAUGGGAGAAUAUUACUGCCCCACUGGAUUUGGGGAAUCUCGGCUCUUAACAGAAACUGGGCUUAAUCAUUCAAAAUGAAGUUGGUUUCUUUCACACCUGGGUUUGCAGACUGAGCCACCUGGUGCGCCCCACUCCCGCUGCAUCCUUCUGCCUGCAUGGCAGACCCACGUGCAACUCAAACAAUGUUUAUGAUUUUCUAAUAUCCCUCCUUUGUAGCUAGCACCACAUCUGCACAGAAUUGAAGGAAUGUUAAAGGAUCAAAGGAAUAUAAACUAGACGGUAGAACACUGACAUGCUCUGUUUUCCAGGUUUUUCCUACUGGUCCGGGGGUAAUGCAAUGUCUGAGGCAGACCAUAAUUUCACUCGUAUGCAGGAGAUUAAAAAAAAAAAAAUGAACUCAGCCUGGUGCAGUGGCUCACGCCUAUAAUCCCAGCACUUUGGGAGGCCAAGGUGGGCAGAUCACGAAGUCAAGAGAUUGAGACCAUCCUGGCCAACAUGGUGAAACCCCGUCUCUACUAAAAAUACAAAAAUUAUCUGGGCGUGGUGCUGCAGCCCUGUAGUCCCGGGUACUCGGGAGGCUGAGACAGGAGAAUCACUUGAACCAGGAGGCGGAGGUUGCAUUGAGCCAAGAUCGUGCCACUGUACUCCAGCCUGGCUACAGAGCAAGACUCUGUCUCAACAACAACAACAAAAAAAAAAAAAAAAAAAAAAAGAAAGAAAGAAAAAAAUGAACUAACGUAACUAAAGAGUAGAAUAGAGCCUGGGAGAGGUGCUGAUGGGGAGAAGAAAGGAUGGGGAGAGGUUGGUUAUGGGAUACGAAAUUACAGCUAGUGGUUCAUGCCUAUAAUCCCAACACUUUGAGAGGCCAAGGCGGGCGGAUCUCCUGAGGUCAGGAGCUCAAGAGCAGCCUGGCCAACACGGAGAAACUCCAUCUCUACUACAAAAAUUAGCCAGACGUGGUGGCGCAUACCUGUAAUCCCAGCUACUUGGGAGGCUGAGGCAGGAGAAUCACUUGAACCCGGGAGGCAGAGGUUGCAGUGAGCCAAGAUCGUACCAUUGCACUCCAGCCUGGGUGACAGAGCAAGACUCUGUCUCAAAAAAAAAAAAAAAAAAUUACAGCUAGAUAAGAGGCAUGAGUUCUGGACUUCUGCAGCACCACAGAAUGAAUAUGGUUAAUAAUAAUUUAUUGUAUAUUUUCAAAGAAGUAGAAAAGAAGAUUUUGAAUGUUCACAACACAAAGAAAUAAUAAAGGUUUGAGCUGGUGGAUUUGUUACCCUGAUUUGAUCAUUAUACAUUGAGUACACAAAUAUCACUAUGUAUCCCAUACAUAUGUAUAAUUAUCAUGUGUCAACUAAAAAUAAAAAGCAUAAAAAACCCAAAGAUAUUUGGCUACCAAGUUCUUGGUAGACGUGGAGCCUCAAGAUCAGUUCUGGGUGGAUUGUGAGUAUCUUCUAGACAUCCCUCAAGCCAUUCCAAUUUCUUUUCGACUUUCAGCAUUUCCUCUUGUCAGAGUUUGUAUUCAGCUUAUGAAGCAACCAUUUUAACUAUUUUUCUAGAAUCUCAGUAGUUGCCUUCCUGAGCAAGUCAUUACCACGAGG
Molecule: long non-coding RNA, 3041 nt
Filed under: Homo sapiens (human)
Lineage: Eukaryota; Metazoa; Chordata; Mammalia; Primates; Hominidae
Description: HSALNT0331598
Source: RNAcentral